UACUAGAGUAGCACUCGCAUAUCAAUAAGCGGAGGAAAAGAAACUAACAAGGAUUCCCCUAGUAACGGCGAGUGAAGCGGGAAGAGCUCAAAUUUGAAAUCUUAAAGGGUUUCCCUCUACGAAUUGUAGUUUAAAGAAGUGUUUUCUGUUGAGGUUUUGGUAAAAGUUCUUUGGAAUAGGACAUCAUAGAGGGUGAGAAUCCCGUAUUUGACCUUUACUUUCAACUUUGUGAUACACUUUCAAAGAGUCGGAUUGUUUGGGAAUGCAGUCCAAAAUGGGUGGUAAAUUUCAUCUAAAGCUAAAUAUUGGCGAGAGACCGAUAGCGAACAAGUACCGUGAGGGAAAGAUGAAAAGAACUUUGAAAAGAGAGUUAAACAGUACGUGAAAUUGUCAAAAGGGAAGCGUUUGACACCAGUGUUGUUUUUCUGAAAAUCAAUUAAAGAACUGUUUAUGCUAAGUUGUUUAGACUUUAUCAGCUAUCUGCUUAGUUUUGAGCUUUUCUUUAAUGCACUUUUCAGUUAACAAGUCAACAUCAAUUUCUUUUGCUGUAAAAAAGCUUGAGGAAGGUGGCUUGAGAUUCGUCUUAAGUGUUUAUAGCCUCUUGCCUAUGCAGUCGGAGAGAUUGAGGUCUGUAGCGUAGAUCCUUCGGGGCUAAAUGCAUUUGUGCUAAGUUAUAGGCAUUUUAUAGACAACUUGUUGACUAUGAUUUGUCUUGUAGCUUACUCGCUUAUGUUAUUUUACCUACGCUUAGGAUGUUGAACUCUAUCACACACAG
This 775-nucleotide ribosomal RNA is filed under the name uncultured Neocallimastigales. RNAcentral describes it as "partial large subunit ribosomal RNA". It matches the Rfam family "Eukaryotic large subunit ribosomal RNA", at positions 20 to 621 of the family's 3401-position model. The record is from RNAcentral. Lineage: Eukaryota; Fungi; Neocallimastigomycota; Neocallimastigomycetes; Neocallimastigales.